RNAcentral lists this ribosomal RNA (463 nucleotides) under Afipia sp. CZ64. Its description in RNAcentral is "bacterial SSU rRNA". It matches the Rfam family "Bacterial small subunit ribosomal RNA", at positions 1080 to 1533 of the family's 1533-position model. The record is from RNAcentral. Lineage: Bacteria; Pseudomonadati; Pseudomonadota; Alphaproteobacteria; Hyphomicrobiales; Nitrobacteraceae.
UUAAGUCCCGCAACGAGCGCAACCCUCGCCCCUAGUUGCCAUCAUUCAGUUGGGAACUCUAGGGGGACUGCCGGUGAUAAGCCGCGAGGAAGGUGGGGAUGACGUCAAGUCCUCAUGGCCCUUACAGGCUGGGCUACACACGUGCUACAAUGGCGGUGACAAUGGGCAGCGAAGGAGCGAUCUGGAGCUAAUCCCAAAAAGCCGUCUCAGUUCAGAUUGUACUCUGCAACUCGAGUACAUGAAGGUGGAAUCGCUAGUAAUCGUGGAUCAGCAUGCCACGGUGAAUACGUUCCCGGGCCUUGUACACACCGCCCGUCACACCAUGGGAGUUGGGUUUACCCGAAGGCGUCGCGCUAACCGCAAGGAGGCAGGCGACCACGGUAGGCUCAGCGACUGGGGUGAAGUCGUAACAAGGUAGCCGUAGGGGAACCUGCGGCUGGAUCACCUCCUUUCUGCGGCCGCU